Small nuclear RNA from Anneissia japonica, 141 nucleotides. RefSeq annotates it as U4 spliceosomal RNA. The record is from RefSeq and is a predicted model, not a curated record. NCBI's taxonomy places the organism in Eukaryota, Metazoa, Echinodermata, Crinoidea, Comatulida, Comatulidae. The transcript has a single exon.
AUCUUUGCGCAGAGGCGAUAUCAUAGCCAAUGAGGUUUAUCCGAGGCGUGAUUAUUGCUAGUUGAAAACUUAUCCCAAUACCCCGCACAAGCGAUGUGGAAAUAUCGUUGCUUGAUGCAAUUUGUGACCGUUCUUCGGAAC